Molecule: transfer RNA, 72 nt
Filed under: Blechnopsis orientalis
Lineage: Eukaryota; Viridiplantae; Streptophyta; Polypodiopsida; Polypodiales; Blechnaceae
Also listed under: 5 other names
Description: tRNA-Gln
Rfam family: tRNA
About the family: Transfer RNA (tRNA) molecules are approximately 80 nucleotides in length.
Source: RNAcentral
UGGAGUAUAGCCAAGCGGUAAGGCAUCGGUUUUUGAUACCGACACGCAAAGGUUCGAAUCCUUUUACUCCAG